ACCUGGGUGGCUCAGUAGGUUGAGCAUCUGGCUCUUGAUUUUGACUCAGGUCAUGAUCUCAGGGUUGUGGGAUCAAGCCCCACCUUGGGUU
Molecule: transfer RNA, 91 nt
Filed under: Felis catus (domestic cat)
Lineage: Eukaryota; Metazoa; Chordata; Mammalia; Carnivora; Felidae
Also listed under: 6 other names
Rfam family: tRNA
About the family: Transfer RNA (tRNA) molecules are approximately 80 nucleotides in length. Their secondary structure includes four short double-helical elements and three loops (D, anti-codon, and T loops). Further hydrogen bonds mediate the characteristic L-shaped molecular structure. tRNAs have two regions of fundamental functional importance: the anti-codon, which is responsible for specific mRNA codon recognition, and the 3' end, to which the tRNAs corresponding amino acid is attached (by aminoacyl-tRNA synthetases). tRNAs cope with the degeneracy of the genetic code in two manners: having more than one tRNA (with a specific anti-codon) for a particular amino acid; and 'wobble' base-pairing, i.e. permitting non-standard base-pairing at the 3rd anti-codon position.
Source: Rfam by way of RNAcentral